CCAAUAGCGUAUAUUAAAGUUGUUGCAGUUAAAAAGCUCGUAGUUGAACUUCGGGGUUUACCCAUUGGUCAGGCUUAAUUGUCUGUACUGGUGAGAUAAAUCUCUACCUUCUGAGGAACUUUCAUGCCAUUUAUUUGGUGUGAUUGGAAAUCAGGACUAUUACUUUGAAAAAAUUAGAGUGUUUAAAGCAGGCUAACGUCUGAAUAUAUUAGCAUGGAAUAAUGAAAUAGGACGGCUUGGUUCUAUUUCGUUGGUUUCUAGGAUCACCGUAAUGAUUAAUAUGGAUAGUUGGGGGCGUUAGUAUGCAAUUGUCAGAGGUGAAAUUCUUGGAUUUAUUGAAGACUAACUACUGCGAAAGCAUUUGCCAAGGAUGUUUUCAUUAAUCAAGAACGAAAGUUAGGGGAUCGAAGACGAUCAGAUACCGUCGUAGUCUUAACCAUAAACUAUGCCGACUAGGGAUCGGACGAAGUUAAUUUUAUAAUGACGCGUUCGGCACCUUACG
RNAcentral lists this ribosomal RNA (502 nucleotides) under uncultured Diversispora. Its description in RNAcentral is "SSU rRNA". It matches the Rfam family "Eukaryotic small subunit ribosomal RNA", at positions 591 to 1092 of the family's 1831-position model. The record is from RNAcentral. Lineage: Eukaryota; Fungi; Glomeromycota; Glomeromycetes; Diversisporales; Diversisporaceae.